This is an RNA transcript of Melanotaenia boesemani (Boeseman's rainbowfish), 3015 nucleotides long. RefSeq lists it as uncharacterized. The record is from RefSeq and is a predicted model, not a curated record. Lineage: Eukaryota; Metazoa; Chordata; Actinopteri; Atheriniformes; Melanotaeniidae. The transcript is spliced from 6 exons.
UCAAAAAAUAGAAACAACCAGUUUGUCCAAUUUUCUCAACUCUAACAUGUAGUUUCUACUUAAAUAAAAUGUGAUUGUAGAUUUACACAAUAACUUUGUGUAAAUUUAACGUAAAACCUUAAAACUCACUAUUUACUUGAUUAAUUCAUGUUGUGCUAACAUGAAGGAUUCAAGUUCAGAUACAGACACGGAAAUUCCCGGACACUGUCGCGAGGUAAAAAGAGAACAGCGAGCAGCAGGCAAAACGAGGAGCAUGUGGAAAGUUUAAGAUUGUUGAAAGAUGUCGACACCAGCAAAGCUGCGAGUAAUCUUGGGAGAAAACAACUCACACAAAUUGAUUUUCCCAGAUGGCAUUCCAGGAUCUGUCAGUGAACUUACAGAGAAUAUAAAAAAACAAUGUGGAAUACAAGGAAGUUUCAGACUUCAAUAUAUGGAUGUUGACUUUGGCAAUGAGUUCACCAACUUGGAAUCAAUGUCAGAUGUCAUGGAUAAAGGUACUCUUAGAGUAAUCUUGGAUGCAGAAACGCCUCGCCUAUCUGAUGGAUCUCCACCACCUUCUUACUCGGCGGCUGCAGCUUCCCAGUCACCAGAUGACCGCUCUUCAUUUGCAUCUGGUAACUCAUUUGACACAGAUAUCCUGUCUUCUUCUGAAUCAACCUCUUCUCGGUCAUCCAGUUGGCCCCUUGUUUUCAGCAUUCCUAAGUUUUCUUAUGAAACUGAACUGCAGCUUGAAAAAGCCAACACAGCUUUCAGAGAAACUUGAUCCUUGUUGAAUCCUGAUGUAAAACUUAAGUCAGCAAUCAUGGAUGGUUUGAUGGAAACUAUUGUCAAGCACAAAGUGUACCUCUCUGAUGCAGAGUUCAGUGAGGUAGCAGCAGCUCUUAUAACGGCACAUCCUUGCUUGAAAGAGCCAGGUUCCAUAAGUGGAUUUGGUGGUUGGAAGACAAGUUUAAAAUAUAAACUUGGGAACUACAGAUCAAAGCUCAGGAGACUUGGAUGUCCAGAAGUGACUGUGAAUUCUCUGAAACACAAACCUGAUGAUCGUUGCAGUCCUGCCUAUGGUGUUAAGAAACCUAAAAAGGCUGAAGUGAAUUACUGCCCACCAUAUCCAGCCGGUGAAACAGCUGAAACUUUGGAGCAGAUAAGAGUAAAACUCCUGUCUGAAGUAAUGAUUCGAAAUAAUGAAGACAAAGUAGCUGCCAUGAUGGACAAAACGUUUGCACUAAGACGUCUUGAGGUAGUCCAAGAUGCACCCAUGGUAGCGGAUUUCAAAGCAAGGUGGCCAGGUCUCUUUAAUGUGAGGGAGGUGAAAGCAGAAUUCAAGAGGAUAACCACAGUUGAGCUGCAGUCCAAGUUCUUCUCGCAACUUGAUGCACAUUCUGAAAACUUGAUGAAAGUGUUUGCCAGAAAAGGAGGAGUCCUUGGGAAAAAGAUAAAGGCAGUGAUGCUUCCAAUGACUCGGUGGAUGACAUACAGGGUGCACCCAUGGCAGGUUGUAAGUCUCUUCAUAGGCCAACAGAGACCACAGACUUGAACUGCCUAAUGGAUAUAAAGUUAAGAGCAUUUUAUUAAAAUGCUGACAGCAUUGAUGUCAAAAGAGAAUGCAUCCUCAGAGGCUUGACAGUGUACUUAAAUGAGGAUCCACAAAAAUUUGUGAAGGACUACACGACUGAUGAUCAGUGUAUCGAAAGAGACCUGGCAGAAACGGUCUUUGGGAUCUAUGUGGUUCGACACAAUGGUGCAGACCGUGAUGACGAUCCUGAGGACAUUGGAAUCGUUUUGGAGGGGGUAGAGGUACUGAGUGGUUUGAGAAGUGUCCCAUUCGCAAUGGCAAUGUUUCUCGGACUUGUGUAUUCUCUGAACAUUAGUUACCCUCCAGAAUUAAAAUAUACAUUUGAAGCUGUGCAGAAAAUCAUAAUGGAGAUGGAAGGAAACAAGCUGUCAGCCAAAGUGCAAACUCUCAAAACACUGCUAGCACGUUCAUCAUUCUAAAAACGACAUUUUAGUGGCUGCCCAUACUAUUUCUUACUUACAAAGAUUGUUAGUUUCAUUUGCACUUUAAAGCAGUUUGUAAGAUGUAUUUGAUGUCUUAACUUUAUAACAAUUUUGAAAGCAAAAAGCUUUUAGUGGGCUGAGGAGAUUUAAGAGAAGUAUGGGAACAACAAUGUGACAUACUGAAGAUUGGAUAUCCAAGGACACCUUUUCUUUAUAUUUUAGGAGUUAAAAUAUAUGUUUGAAGCUGUUCAGGAUCUGCAAGGAAACGGGUGGUCAGCCAAACUUUCAAAACACAGCUGGUAGCUAAGUUUGGAUUUGGGAGAAUUCUAGCCUCAUCAGUUUAUUAAAGAUUUCAUAUUACAUUUUUCAACUUUUUCACUGUUUCAUCACGUCAGUCAAAAGCUUUUAGUGUGCCAAGCAGAUUUAAAAGAAAUAUGUGAACAGCAAUGUAAAAAACUGAAGACUGCAUAUAUCUUGUUGCAUCUUUUUCCUCGUUCUGUGAACUGUAAGGAGCGAUGACAUAUUGAGUAAAGUUGCACUUUAGUAUUUUUUUUUUUUUUACUCAUAAAAACACAUGGUUUUCAUUUUUUUUUUUUUUUUUUUUUGUAUUUAGUUGUAUCCACUUAGAUCUAUGUAAAUGUGCUGUAAGAAUGUUGACCUCCUUGGCAGGAGUACCAUUAAGGGUAUUGUUUUUUGUUUCAUUAUAACCUUAGUUAACCUCAUUUUGUUUUUCAUAAAGUAAGCACUACAAAUUCAUGUUUUUAGAAACUGUGUGCUGUUGUUUUAUGUUUUAUUAAUGUAAUUACGGAGUUUUGGUAAACCAUUGUCAACAUGUAAGACUAAACGGUCUUUACACAAAUAAGAGUUUGAUUGAAAGCAAAUAAGCUGUGUUUUUAUUCCAACUUUUGGCACCACACAUAAGAAGUAAAUAGUACAUGGACAGUGCUUUUAUCCAAAGCACUUUAAUACGCGUCAGAUUCAGCCAUUCACACCAGGGCUGAACGAUAUAGACAAAAUAUU